AAACUUUACACUGCGGGAAACCGCGAUAAGGGGACCCCGAGCGCCAGCACCUAGUGUUGGCUGUCCUACUGUCUAAAUAACAGUGGUUAGCAAGGGCCGGGCAAGACCAGUGCCAGCCUCCGCGGUAACACUGGCAGCUCGAGUGGUGGUCGUUUUUAUUGGGCUUAAAGCAUCCGUAGCCGGUUUAGCAAGUCCCCUGUGAAAUCCUGCCGCUUAACGGUAGGGCUUGCGGAGGAUACUACUAGACUAGGAGCCGGGAUAGGU
RNAcentral lists this ribosomal RNA (264 nucleotides) under uncultured archaeon. RNAcentral's name for it is "partial 16S ribosomal RNA". It matches the Rfam family "Archaeal small subunit ribosomal RNA", at positions 345 to 609 of the family's 1478-position model. The record is from RNAcentral.